UUAGGCUUCACAAAUUUUAGUCGUUUAUCAAACUGUGCAAGAUGAACACAGCAAGCAGCAAAGAAGUUGCGAUCUUACAGAAAGAUAUUGGAGAAGAAUGAGUUUUAAUACACACAGAGUAAGAACCUCAUCUUCUGACAUCAGCAAGUGAUGGAGCUACAGGAGGUGGAAUGGUGCUUUGUUCAUCAUAAUCCAAUGGACCUGGGUCUUGAACAAGCUAGAAACAGAUAAAAAAUGUAUGAAGAGAAACUGGAUCCAGCACAUACUGAAAAUUCUGCCUCAGCAAAAGGAGUUAAACAGUGCUAUAGGCAAAUUGAAAACAGUGAGCAUAAGGAAUGCAACACAGUUACACAAGCUAAAAAGAACAGGAAA
Long non-coding RNA from Pezoporus occidentalis (night parrot), 372 nucleotides. RefSeq lists it as uncharacterized. The record is from RefSeq and is a predicted model, not a curated record. NCBI's taxonomy places the organism in Eukaryota, Metazoa, Chordata, Aves, Psittaciformes, Psittacidae. The transcript is spliced from 2 exons.